AACAAAAAUACUUACAAACGCAUCUUAUAUAAAAGGCAUGUUACAUAAUAUCUGACCCACUUGGCUGAGCUUCUUUGCACUCAAUCAGCAGAGCUCUUGCAUAAUAACAUCAGCCAUUGCAAAUCACUUUUGAUUCUCACACGAUUAGAAAAAAAAAAAGAUAACUUCAUCCAAUGAUUCACACGCCUUAUAUAAUUUUCUAUGCUGCAGAAAAACACUGAAUCAGUGUAACUAGGAUAGUGGCUCUUGAUGUGUCCCAAAUCAAGUACAGUUUAAAUACCAGAGCUCAUACAGAAAGAAGAUGGGAGUUUCUUUACUUUCAGAACUGGUCAUGUAAACUGGACAGAUUACAUGUAUGCCUCAACUCAACAUCUUAUCACUUUCAGUCAUUCAUACAAAUUACCCCUAAGCAUUACACAUAUUACUAGGUACCAUUUUUUAAAACGGUUUUACAAACAAAAGAAAACAAACAAAAAAAGAUAAUAGUUACAUUAUUGUAAAAAUCACAAAGGGAGCACAUGCAUGUUAUAAAUUUAUUUGACUAUGAUGGCUAAAAGUAUAUGCCUCUAUGUACACAACUAUGGCUAUCAUAAAAAAGUGAUUUAUCAUAAGUGGCCUACAGUACCAUACCCAAUUACAAAACCCUAACAGAAAACUUACCAUGGUAACUAAUUUGGCCCCGCGAAUCAACUACUCGUUUAACGUUUAAUUUGCGACCUCUUAGAAUGCGUAAAAUGUUAUUUCCUGUUUGUUUGCACUAGUGCUUACCAAGUUAAUUGUUACGAUACGAGUUGUAAACAUACAGCCGACGGUAACAUCCAGUACACCUUUAGAAAAAAAAAGUAAUCCAAUGCAAGCAUACAGAAGCAAAAAUAUAAAAAUAUCGCUACAUUUCAUGGAUGCUAGACGCAGUUGAGCACACCGGCUAGCACUGUUAAGAGGGUGCACGAGACAACGCGUGUGAUUGUUUUGGUUUUAUACGCCUCAUUAAUAGACAUCUUUCAUUCUUUCAUUUUCAUUAGAACAUAACCGUGCCGAAUGUUAAAAUAAAUACAGGCAGUGCUUCAAUACACGUUUGUUUGCACGUCGUUUCAUUCAGAAGACAGAACGGAGAUGCGCUUCCGCGCGGCUAACUCGACACGCGCGUCUCACAAAAGCUAACUCCACAAGCGUGCUCUGCAACUGAACCGCCUACUCAUUUACAGGAAAAGGUUUUGAAGUGUAAGGAUGCGCAAGGAAAAGGAUGGUGCAGUUUCCUGCAGAGGGCAGCAUGAGACCACUUUCACAGAACAGAACCUCUUCCAUGAUACAUUUGGGGUCCUUUGGCAUCCUUUGUACAGCUGUAGUCAUUAUUCACUUCAUUGGCCUACAUUCAAAAGAUUUGUGCUCCACGCAAGAAAAGUAAUGGAUGAUAAAUUCAAGUGAAUAAAUAAGGAGAAGAAAAACACUGGCUGCAAGGAAAGCUGAGAAAGAGAGUUAGGAAGGCAACAGUGACUGUGUAACAUACUGUCUACUGCAAUUCUUUCAUUUGAAACAUUUUUGAUGUAUCCUUCACUGCCUAUGAUAUCCCACUAUCCUGUGCAAUGGAUGACAGCUGAGCUACAAAAAAGGUACUGUGAAAUUGUGAAAUGGUUGGUCUGUUUUAUUUGAUUUUUAGUGAGAAAUUAGUAUUCCCAUAAUAUAAAUAUUUGCAUAUUAGUCACUGUAAAGUCAAUGGUAGGGCAGCGAGGCAAGUCAGCAGCAUAAGCUGUCAGAUACAGUCAUUAUAAAAUAAACGUAUUUCUUAUUUCACUUCAAUUUUAAUAUACAUUCCUUUAAAAGGGUGCUUACAUAAUGGUGCUUUUUAGUUCC
Long non-coding RNA from Puntigrus tetrazona (Sumatra barb), 1851 nucleotides. RefSeq lists it as uncharacterized. The transcript has 4 exons. The record is from RefSeq and is a predicted model, not a curated record. NCBI's taxonomy places the organism in Eukaryota, Metazoa, Chordata, Actinopteri, Cypriniformes, Cyprinidae.